UACGAAGGGGGCUAGCGUUGCUCGGAAUCACUGGGCGUAAAGGGUGCGUAGGCGGGUCUUUAAGUCAGGGGUGAAAUCCUGGAGCUCAACUCCAGAACUGCCUUUGAUACUGAAGAUCUUGAGUUCGGGAGAGGUGAGUGGAACUGCGAGUGUAGAGGUGAAAUUCGUAGAUAUUCGCAAGAACACCAGUGGCGAAGGCGGCUUUCUGGUCUGUAACUGACGCUGAGGCGCGAAAGCGUGGGGAGCAAACAGG
RNAcentral lists this ribosomal RNA (253 nucleotides) under uncultured bacterium. RNAcentral describes it as "partial 16S ribosomal RNA". It matches the Rfam family "Bacterial small subunit ribosomal RNA", at positions 524 to 776 of the family's 1533-position model. The record is from RNAcentral.